This is an RNA transcript of Ipomoea nil (Japanese morning glory), 2245 nucleotides long. It is a transcript of the gene named calcium-dependent protein kinase 5-like, with no coding region annotated. The record is from RefSeq and is a predicted model, not a curated record. The transcript is spliced from 10 exons. NCBI's taxonomy places the organism in Eukaryota, Viridiplantae, Streptophyta, Magnoliopsida, Solanales, Convolvulaceae.
UAUGAUUUAUCUGACCUAAAGGGAAAUAUUUAAAUGUCAACCCGGAAAUGGAGAGUGAAGUGAUCUGUGAUCAUCAUCCAUUUAUUUGAAUGGUUUCUACUCUCCGUCAUCGUCAACUGCAGCGACUCAUCCACAGCAGCCACUUCAGGUCAGCGCUACACCUACAUCGUCCUAAAUCUCCUACGAAAUCAGAUAGAUCAUCGCACUUUUCUCCUUUAGUUCCUCCUCGCAAGGUAAUCUUGAUUCGGAAGAACAGUGGACGAUGAUAAAGUUGUCAACUUGCUGAGCUGUGAUUGUUUCAUGGGCAAUACAUGCCGUGGAUUUUUAGGAGGCAAACACUUUCAGGGCUACGCCAAGCCCCAAGAUCAUUCCAUCUCCAAGCGUAACCCUUCUUCAGGCCAUUCUGACUCUUCUGCUAAUUACACCUCCCCUACCAGCUUGACCUCUUCCCAGAACAAAGAUCUUACUGGAGAUACCCAACCCAAUCCCAAUCCCAAAGCAGAUCAGCACCUCAGUGCCAAAAGGGACACCAUCAUGAAUCGUUCCACCAACAACCAGGCUUACUAUGUUCUAGGUCACAAGACCGCUAACAUUCGCGAUCUUUACACAUUGGGACGUAAAUUAGGCCAAGGUCAGUUUGGCACCACUUUUCUCUGCACCGAGAUUUCCACUGGUAUUGAGUAUGCUUGUAAGUCUAUUUCAAAGAGGAAGUUGAUCUCCAAAGAAGAUGUAGAGGAUGUUAGGAGGGAAAUUCAGAUAAUGCACCAUUUGGCUGGUCACAAAAAUAUUGUUAGUAUCAAGGGGGCUUAUGAGGACCCUUUAUAUGUUCAUAUUGUUAUGGAAUUAUGUAGUGGUGGUGAAUUGUUUGAUCGCAUUAUUCACCGUGGUCACUACAGUGAGAGAAAGGCUGCUGAAUUGACUAAGAUUAUUGUGGGAGUUGUUGAGGCAUGCCACUCACUUGGGGUUAUGCAUAGAGAUCUCAAACCAGAAAAUUUCUUAUUGGUUAACAAGGAUGAUGAUUUCUCACUCAAAGCAAUUGAUUUUGGACUCUCGGUUUUUUUCAACCCAGGCCAAAUUUUCACUGAUGUUGUUGGAAGCCCAUAUUAUGUUGCUCCUGAGGUGCUUAUGAAGAAUUACGGUCCAGAAGCAGAUGUGUGGACAGCAGGGGUCAUACUUUAUAUACUGUUAAGCGGUGUGCCGCCCUUUUGGGCUGAAACACAGCAAGGGAUAUUCGAUGCAGUUUUGAAAGGUGACAUUGAUUUUGAAUCAGAUCCUUGGCCCAUAAUUUCAGACAGUGCAAAGGAUCUAAUCCAGAAGAUGUUGUGCAUGCGGCCUUCUGAGCGCUUAACUGCUCAUGAAGUAUUAUGCCACCCUUGGAUUUGUAAGAAUGGUGUUGCUCCUGAUAGAGCAUUGGAUCCAGCUGUACUUUCUCGCCUUAAACAGUUUUCAGCUAUGAACAAGUUGAAGAAGAUGGCCUUACGGGUAAUAGCAGAAAGCCUAUCAGAAGAGGAGAUUGCUGGUUUAAGGGAGAUGUUUAAGGCCAUGGAUACUGAUAAUAGUGGUGCAAUUACAUUUGAUGAACUCAAAGCUGGUUUAAGAAAAUAUGGGUCUACUUUAAAGGAUACAGAAAUACGAGAACUAAUGGAUGCGGCUGAUGUGGAUAACAGUGGAACCAUAGAUUAUGGAGAAUUCGUAGCAGCGACAAUUCACCUUAACAAAUUAGAACGUGAAGAACAUCUUGUUGCAGCAUUUCAAUACUUUGACAAGGAUGGAAGUGGUUAUAUUACAGUUGAUGAGCUCCAGCAAGCUUGUGUAGAACAUAACAUGACAGAUGUUUUUUUUGAAGAUAUAAUCAGAGAAGUGGAUCAAGAUAAUGAUGGGCGGAUUGAUUAUGGAGAGUUUGUUGCUAUGAUGACAAAAGGAAAUGCGGGCAUUGGAAGACGAACUAUGCGAAACAGUUUGAAUAUCAGUAUGAGAGAUGCACCAGGAGCUCAUUAGCUUUUGAAAAGACAGAUCAUCUAUAGGGUGUACAGGAUUGAUGGCAGAUGAUGAUGCAGCAGAGCUUUUGUUAUGCGUGCAUGCUUUCCCUUGAGUUGCCAUAUGGGUGUAGAAAAUGUUGUAACCUUUGUACUUUGUAGACUCCAUCCAGUGUAUGAAAGAAAUUGUUUCAGCUACUUUUAAGGUAUUAAAUUGGCACCUUCUGCAGCAUUGAAGAUAUUGACCUAUAAACUUUUAUUUUGGACGC